RNAcentral lists this ribosomal RNA (494 nucleotides) under uncultured bacterium. RNAcentral's name for it is "partial 16S ribosomal RNA". It matches the Rfam family "Bacterial small subunit ribosomal RNA", at positions 28 to 507 of the family's 1533-position model. The record is from RNAcentral.
GACGAACGCUGGCGGCGUGCUUAACACAUGCAAGUCGAACGGAAAGGCCUGCUUUCCCUUGUGGAUUGCGGGUACUCGAGUGGCGAACGGGUGAGUAACACGUGAGCGAUCUGUUCCCAACUUGGGUAUAAGCCUGGGAAACUGGGUCUAAUUCCCGAUAGGACUGCAGGGUGGUGUCUGUGGUGGAAAACGAUGUUCUAGUGGUUGGGGAUGAGCUCGCGGCCUAUUAGCUUGUUGGUGGGGUAAUGGCCCACCAAGGCGGCGACGGGUAGCCGGCCUGAGAGGGUGGACAGCGGCAUUGGGACUGAGAUACGGCCCCGACUCCUACGGGAGGCAGCAGUGGGGAAGCAUGGACGAUGGGCGGAAGCCUGAUGCAGCGACGCCGCGUGGGGGAUGACGGGCUUCGGGUUGUAAACUCCUUUCAACCGCGAGGAAGCCACCUGGUUGGAAGGGUGGUGACGGUAGUGGUAGAAGAAGCACCGGCUAACUACGUG